RNAcentral lists this ribosomal RNA (492 nucleotides) under uncultured bacterium. RNAcentral describes it as "partial 16S ribosomal RNA". It matches the Rfam family "Bacterial small subunit ribosomal RNA", at positions 29 to 507 of the family's 1533-position model. The record is from RNAcentral.
AGUGAACGCUGGCGGUAGGCCUAACACAUGCAAGUCGAACGGCAGCACAGUAAGAGCUUGCUCUUACGGGUGGCGAGUGGCGGACGGGUGAGGAAUACAUCGGAAUCUACUUUUUCGUGGGGGAUAACGUAGGGAAACUCACGCUAAUACCGCAUACGACCUACGGGUGAAAGCAGGGGAUCUUCGGACCUUGCGCGAUUGAAUGAGCCGAUGUUGGAUUAGCUAGUUGGCGGGGUAAAGGCCCACCAAGGCGACGAUCCGUAGCUGGUCUGAGAGGAUGAUCAGCCACACUGGAACUGAGACACGGUCCAGACUCCUACGGGAGGCAGCAGUGGGGAAUAUUGGACAAUGGGCGCAAGCCUGAUCCAGCCAUACCGCGUGGGUGAAGAAGGCCUUCGGGUUGUAAAGCCCUUUUGUUGGGAAAGAAAAGCAGCAGGUUAAUACCCCGCUGUUCUGACGGUACCCAAAGAAUAAGCACCAGCUAACUUCGUG